UGCCCGCAGGUCCCUGUCCCACACUGUCCCCGUGACUGUGGUUGGAAACUCAAAUGGGUCACACUCUGAUUCCAUACUCUUUCCCCUAUGUCUGCUUACCUCCGCCUUAUCGGGGAGCAUUCUUCACCUUGGAUUCUAGAAUGCUGAGGAAUAAUUACAAAGAUCUUGUCACCCUCCUGUUGAGCACAAGUCACUUUCCUCUGGUUCCACGAGCGCUGUCUUCUCACCAGGUCAUCCUGAAACAAAAAUGGAAACACUUGGAAAUUCCAUGUUUCAGACAGUAAUAGUGGAUGUUUUCCUAAGGACUGAAAAGUAUCCUACAAGCUACAAGUAGCACAUGGCUACUUCUAUGGCUUUUCCACAUCUUAUGACGAGGGCCAGAGGGGAGAAAAGACGAUGGUCAGAGGAAGUUAAAGGGCACUGCAGCAAACUAUAUCUACUUCACAAUCGUGUCCUGACACUAAUAAGCUGUAAAUGGCAUUCACCUACAGACAAAUAAACUGGCGACUCUAGUCA
Molecule: long non-coding RNA, 516 nt
Organism: Panthera uncia (snow leopard)
Lineage: Eukaryota; Metazoa; Chordata; Mammalia; Carnivora; Felidae
Exons: 2
Source: RefSeq, a predicted model, not a curated record